ACCGAGUUAUCAACUCCCAAACCCCUGUGAACAUACCUUUAACGUUGCCUCGGCGGGACCGCCCCGGCGCCCACUCGCGGCCCGGACCCAGGCGCCCGCCGGAGGACCCAAACUCUUGCUUUGAACAGUGGCAUACUCUCUGAGUCUCACAAACAAAAAUGAAUCAAAACUUUCAACAACGGAUCUCUUGGCUCUGGCAUCGAUGAAGAACGCAGCGAAAUGCGAUAAGUAAUGUGAAUUGCAGAAUUCAGUGAAUCAUCGAAUCUUUGAACGCACAUUGCGCCCGCCAGCAUUCUGGCGGGCAUGCCUGUCCGAGCGUCAUUUCAACCCUCAGGACCCCUUCGGGGGACCUGGUGUUGGGGGCCGGCCGCCUCGCGCGCCGCCCCCGAAAUGCAGUGGCGACCUCGCCGCAGCCUCCCCUGCGUAGUAGCACAACCUCGCACCGGAGCGCGGAGACGGUCACGCCGUAAAACGCCCAACUUUCACGAGUUGACCUCGGAUCAGGUAGGAAUACCCGC
RNAcentral lists this ribosomal RNA (518 nucleotides) under Hypocreales sp. M538. Its description in RNAcentral is "eukaryotic LSU rRNA". The stretch from base 168 to 321 matches the Rfam family "5.8S ribosomal RNA". Lineage: Eukaryota; Fungi; Ascomycota; Sordariomycetes; Hypocreales. The record is from RNAcentral.